Molecule: ribosomal RNA, 175 nt
Filed under: Leptographium terebrantis
Lineage: Eukaryota; Fungi; Ascomycota; Sordariomycetes; Ophiostomatales; Ophiostomataceae
Also listed under: 2 other names
Description: partial 5.8S ribosomal RNA
Rfam family: 5.8S ribosomal RNA (bases 1-112)
About the family: 5.8S ribosomal RNA (5.8S rRNA) is a component of the large subunit of the eukaryotic ribosome.
Source: RNAcentral
ACGCAGCGAACUGCGAUAAGUAAUGCGAAUUGCAGAAUUCAGCGAGCCAUCGAAUCUUUGAACGCACAUUGCGCCCGCCAGCAUUCUGGCGGGCAUGCCUGUCCGAGCGUCAUUUCCUCCCUCACGCAGCGCGCCUGCGUGGUGUUGGGGCGUUCUGCGGCCAGGCCUGCGCCCA